GUUAUUUGUGAUGCGGUUCUCUGCUUUGCUGCUCUUUGUUCUAGAAAUUUUUCGAGCUUCGAAUCACUAUGAACUUGCCCCAAAUUCACUUGGUUCGAUUUUUUCAAUCAUCGAGUGUUCGUGGAAUUCACUGGCUUAGAAAGAAGAAUUUCAACUCACACCUUAUACAACAAAUCCUUACGAGGCAUUGGGUCCAUUAGGACAACAGUCUUGCAAGUUGUAGAGGGUGGAAAUAUUGUUUUCCAAGGAGACAUUGAAGAAACAUAGAGAUAGAGAUAGGCAGCCACGACAAGCUGCAACUCUUCUUUAAUCUCUAAAGAAGGUUUUCAAUUCUUGAUUUGUAAUUUCUGUACUUUAUCAUAGUAAAUGUACACUUACGUAGUAGUUAUUGUUAGUUCAGACACAUGGAGAGAUAAGAAGAAAAAGAUGGUAAAGGAAAAAAAAAACAUCGGUAAAACAGAGCUGUAACAUAUAUGAUGUUAUAUGUGUAUCUAUGUCUGUCUUAGUGACAUAGCUGUGCUCACACAACAUUCAAUGGUAGAAUGAUGUCUUUAUCUAUUUCUUUCUCUAUUGUGUUAGGCAUAUUGUACGAUUCAAAUUUGAAGGUGAGCCAACAUAUAUUUUUAUUAGUGUAAUUCCAAGGAAAAAUAGAGCUACAAGUACAUUACCAAUUGUCGUUCAUCUACAGGCUCUUGUGUUGCUCUGUGUGAUUAGCGUAACUUAUCUCUAAUUCUUACUCACGAUUCUAUUGCUCUUUAUGCUUUUGUGACCAUCAGGCUGAUGUCUUCUUUGCAAUUUUUAAUGAAACCUCAAAAUUAUAGUGGCUUUUGGCCUAUAUUAUUAUUUGUUGGAUUUUCCAGCAGCCAUACAUACGAGCGGUAACACACAAUGACUUUGGAAAUGGGUAUGCUUGUGUGGGCAAAGGUGAUGGCAGAAGGUAUGCUUAAUGGAUGGAGGUGAUGGCAGAAGGCAUUUCAUUCCAAGUUACAACCUUUCUACAGUCAGUUAUUAUGAUGGUGGAAUAAAAUGCCUUUUAUAUAUAUGCUCGAGAAACUACGACAGCCUAUGGUGUUAAGAGAACUUCAAACGAUAAUACUUGGGUUGUUGAUCCUAUGUUGGGUAUGUAUUCAACAUGAAUACCUCGGAGUAUGAAAAGGCACAGGAGUAACUGAAAGUCUGAGACGUAAUGUGUAGUUAUGGAGAUUGAGUUGAACAUGACUGAAGGAUUGAAUAUCAGAAUCAUUCAAUAGAUCAACAGGCCAAUUGCGAAAAGCUAGCAAUAAAGUCUCUUAUUAUCAUUAAUUGUAAUAUAUGUAAGACUUGAGAGUUAGCAUAUAUGGAUUUGUUUCUUAAA
Molecule: long non-coding RNA, 1354 nt
Organism: Beta vulgaris subsp. vulgaris (sugar beet)
Lineage: Eukaryota; Viridiplantae; Streptophyta; Magnoliopsida; Caryophyllales; Amaranthaceae
Exons: 7
Source: RefSeq, a predicted model, not a curated record